RNAcentral lists this ribosomal RNA (854 nucleotides) under uncultured Planctomycetota bacterium. RNAcentral's name for it is "bacterial SSU rRNA". It matches the Rfam family "Bacterial small subunit ribosomal RNA", at positions 678 to 1532 of the family's 1533-position model. The record is from RNAcentral. Lineage: Bacteria; Pseudomonadati; Planctomycetota.
GCGGUGAAAUGCGUAGAUAUCGAUCGGAACGCCAACGGUGAAGACAGGCAGCUGGGCCUAUCCUGACGCUGAGGCACGAAAGCGUGGGGAGCGAACGGGAUUAGAUACCCCGGUAGUCCACGCCCUAAACGAUGUGCACUAGACCGCAGGAGUUCUGACACUUUUGCGGUCGUAGAGAAAUCGAUAAGUGCACCGCCUGGGGAGUACGGUCGCAAGGCUAAAACUCAAAGGAAUUGACGGGGGCUCACACAAGCGGUGGAGCAUGUUGCUUAAUUCGAAGCAACGCGAAGAACCUUAUCCAGGGCUUGACAUGCACGGAUUAGCUGUUGGAAACAUCAGUGACACCCGCAAGGGUGGAACGUGCACAGGUGCUGCAUGGCUGUCGUCAGCUCGUGCUGUGAAGUGUCGGGUUAAGUCCCUUAACGAGCGCAACCCUUGUCGCUAGUUGCCAGCGGGUAAUGCCGGGGACUCUAGCGAGACUGCCGGUGUCAAACCGGAGGAAGGUGGGGAUGACGUCAAGUCCGCAUGGCCUUUAUGUCCUGGGCUGCAAACGUGCUACAAUGGUGCGUACAGAGCGAUGCGAGGCCGCGAGGCGGAGCAAAUCGCAAAAAGCGCGCCCCAGUUCGGAUUGCAGGCUGCAACUCGCCUGCAUGAAGCCGGAAUCGCUAGUAAUCGGAGAUCAGCUACGCUCCGGUGAAUACGUUCCUGAGCCUUGUACACACCGCCCGUCACGUCAUGGAAGCUGGGGGCGCCCGAAGUCGCCGCGAUUCAGCGGUGCCGAAGGCGAACUCGGUGACUGGGACGAAGUCGUAACAAGGUAGCCGUAGGAGAACCUGCGGCUGGAUCACCUCCUU